Molecule: ribosomal RNA, 274 nt
Filed under: uncultured bacterium
Lineage: Bacteria
Description: partial 16S ribosomal RNA
Rfam family: Bacterial small subunit ribosomal RNA
Source: RNAcentral
AUACGGAGGGUGCAAGCGUUGUUCGGAAUCACUGGGCAUAAAGGGCGCGCAGGCGGUUUGGUAAGUCAGAUGUGAAAGCCCACGGCUCAACCGUGGAAGUGCAUUUGAAACUGUCAGACUUGAGUACUAGAGGGGAAAGUGGAAUUCCCGGUGUAGAGGUGAAAUUCGUAGAUAUCGGGAGGAAUACCGGUGGCGAAGGCGACUUUCUGGCUAGAUACUGACGCUGAGGCGCGAAAGCGUGGGGAGCAAACAGGAUUAGAUACCCGUGUAGUCC